AUGAAAAUAAGGGGAGAGACUGCUAAUGCAGCGCCGAAGGAGCAAGCUUUAAGGAGUGAAUCUCUCAGGCAAAAAGACUCUUAUUUGACG
RNAcentral lists this non-coding RNA (90 nucleotides) under Alkalihalobacillus alcalophilus. RNAcentral describes it as "Bacillus alcalophilus Glycine sequence". It matches the Rfam family "Glycine riboswitch aptamer". Rfam says of the family: This family represents the bacterial glycine riboswitch. RNAcentral also lists the same sequence under 1 other name. Lineage: Bacteria; Bacillati; Bacillota; Bacilli; Caryophanales; Bacillaceae. The record is from RNAcentral.